RNAcentral lists this non-coding RNA (801 nucleotides) under Episymploce wulingensis. Lineage: Eukaryota; Metazoa; Arthropoda; Insecta; Blattodea; Blattellidae. The record is from RNAcentral.
AAAAGUUUUAUUCUUGCUUAAUUAUUUAUUUGAACAUUAUUAUAUAUGUAAGUUAUUGCGUGUAUUAUUUGUUCUUAAUGAGAAUUUAAUAUUGUAGUUGUUGCAGUAUAGAAUAUUAUAAAUUUAAGUAAUUUUGAUUUAGUAAUUGUUAAUUAAUAUUGAUUAACCAUGUGCCAGCAAUCGCGGUUAUACAUGAAAUAUAAGUAAAUAAUGUUAGUUAAAGUAGUUAAUUGUUGAAUAUGUUGAAUUUAAAUUGAUUAUUAUUGGGUGAAAUAUUUAAUUUUUGUUUAUGGUUUAUAAUGUUGAUUAAAUGAAGCUGUGAAAUCUAAUAUAUUUAAACUAGGAUUAGAUACCCUAUUAUUUUGGAUGUAAAAUAUUUAAACUUGAGUAGUAAUAGAUAAGGUCUUGAAACUUAAAGAAUUUGGCGGUAUUUUAGUCUAUUUAGAGGAAUCUGUCCCGUAAUCGAUAAUCCGCGUUGGACCUUACUUAAUUUAAAUUAAUAUGUAUACCGCCGUUGUUGAAAAUCUUUUUAGAGUGAAAUUUUUUUAAAAUUUGUUAAAUAAUUUUUCAGGUCAAGGUGCAGUUUAUAAUUAAGUGGUGAUGGAUUACAAUAUUUUAUUAGUAUAUGGAUUAUAACUUGGAAGGAGUAUAUAUGAAGGUGGAUUUAAUAGUAAUAUUAUAAAGAUUAUUAAUAUGGUUUUAGCUCUAAAAUAUGCACACAUCGCCCGUCGCUCUCGUUAUAUUUAAGGUGAGAUAAGUCGUAACAUAGUAGUUGUACCGGAAGGUGUAACUAGAAUGAAU